AAUGAACGCUGGCGGCGUGCUUAACACAUGCAAGUCGAGCGAAAAGCCCUUCGGGGUGAGUAAGCGGCGGACGGGUGAGUAAUACACAGGUACCUGCCCCUCAGUGAGGAAUACCCUCGGGAAAUCGAGGUUAAUACUGCAUACGUCCCUACGGGGAGAAAGGCGGCUUUUAUGCUGUCGCUGAAGGAUGGGCUUGUGGGCUAUCAGCUAGUUGGUGGGGUAAAGGCUCACCAAGGCUAUGACGGCUAGCCGGCCUGAGAGGGUGUACGG
This 270-nucleotide ribosomal RNA is filed under the name uncultured bacterium. RNAcentral describes it as "partial 16S ribosomal RNA". It matches the Rfam family "Bacterial small subunit ribosomal RNA", at positions 29 to 307 of the family's 1533-position model. The record is from RNAcentral.